GGGUUGUGAGGUUAAGCGACUAAGCGUACACGGUGGAUGCCCUGGCAGUCAGAGGCGAUGAAGGACGUGCUAAUCUGCGAUAAGCGUCGGUAAGGUGAUAUGAACCGUUAUAACCGGCGAUUUCCGAAUGGGGAAACCCAGUGUGAUUCGUCACACUAUCAUUAACUGAAUCCAUAGGUUAAUGAGGCGAACCGGGGGAACUGAAACAUCUAAGUACCCCGAGGAAAAGAAAUCAACCGAGAUUCCCCCAGUAGCGGCGAGCGAACGGGGAGCAGCCCAGAGCCUGAAUCAGUGUGUGUGUUAGUGGAAGCGUCUGGAAAGGCGUGCGAUACAGGGUGACAGCCCCGUACACAAAAAUGCACAUGCUGUGAGCUCGAUGAGUAGGGCGGGACACGUGGUAUCCUGUCUGAAUAUGGGGGGACCAUCCUCCAAGGCUAAAUACUCCUGACUGACCGAUAGUGAACCAGUACCGUGAGGGAAAGGCGAAAAGAACCCCGGCGAGGGGAGUGAAAAAGAACCUGAAACCGUGUACGUACAAGCAGUGGGAGCACGCUUAGGCGUGUGACUGCGUACCUUUUGUAUAAUGGGUCAGCGACUUAUAUUCUGUAGCAAGGUUAACCGAAUAGGGGAGCCGAAGGGAAACCGAGUCUUAACUGGGCGUUAAGUUGCAGGGUAUAGACCCGAAACCCGGUGAUCUAGCCAUGGGCAGGUUGAAGGUUGGGUAACACUAACUGGAGGACCGAACCGACUAAUGUUGAAAAAUUAGCGGAUGACUUGUGGCUGGGGGUGAAAGGCCAAUCAAACCGGGAGAUAGCUGGUUCUCCCCGAAAGCUAUUUAGGUAGCGCCUCGUGAAUUCAUCUCCGGGGGUAGAGCACUGUUUCGGCAAGGGGGUCAUCCCGACUUACCAACCCGAUGCAAACUGCGAAUACCGGAGAAUGUUAUCACGGGAGACACACGGCGGGUGCUAACGUCCGUCGUGAAGAGGGAAACAACCCAGACCGCCAGCUAAGGUCCCAAAGUCAUGGUUAAGUGGGAAACGAUGUGGGAAGGCCCAGACAGCCAGGAUGUUGGCUUAGAAGCAGCCAUCAUUUAAAGAAAGCGUAAUAGCUCACUGGUCGAGUCGGCCUGCGCGGAAGAUGUAACGGGGCUAAACCAUGCACCGAAGCUGCGGCAGCGACACUAUGUGUUGUUGGGUAGGGGAGCGUUCUGUAAGCCUGUGAAGGUGUACUGUGAGGUAUGCUGGAGGUAUCAGAAGUGCGAAUGCUGACAUAAGUAACGAUAAAGCGGGUGAAAAGCCCGCUCGCCGGAAGACCAAGGGUUCCUGUCCAACGUUAAUCGGGGCAGGGUGAGUCGACCCCUAAGGCGAGGCCGAAAGGCGUAGUCGAUGGGAAACAGGUUAAUAUUCCUGUACUUGGUGUUACUGCGAAGGGGGGACGGAGAAGGCUAUGUUGGCCGGGCGACGGUUGUCCCGGUUUAAGCGUGUAGGCUGGUUUUCCAGGCAAAUCCGGAAAAUCAAGGCUGAGGCGUGAUGACGAGGCACUACGGUGCUGAAGCAACAAAUGCCCUGCUUCCAGGAAAAGCCUCUAAGCAUCAGGUAACAUCAAAUCGUACCCCAAACCGACACAGGUGGUCAGGUAGAGAAUACCAAGGCGCUUGAGAGAACUCGGGUGAAGGAACUAGGCAAAAUGGUGCCGUAACUUCGGGAGAAGGCACGCUGAUAUGUAGGUGAAGUCCCUCGCGGAUGGAGCUGAAAUCAGUCGAAGAUACCAGCUGGCUGCAACUGUUUAUUAAAAACACAGCACUGUGCAAACACGAAAGUGGACGUAUACGGUGUGACGCCUGCCCGGUGCCGGAAGGUUAAUUGAUGGGGUUAGCGCAAGCGAAGCUCUUGAUCGAAGCCCCGGUAAACGGCGGCCGUAACUAUAACGGUCCUAAGGUAGCGAAAUUCCUUGUCGGGUAAGUUCCGACCUGCACGAAUGGCGUAAUGAUGGCCAGGCUGUCUCCACCCGAGACUCAGUGAAAUUGAACUCGCUGUGAAGAUGCAGUGUACCCGCGGCAAGACGGAAAGACCCCGUGAACCUUUACUAUAGCUUGACACUGAACAUUGAGCCUUGAUGUGUAGGAUAGGUGGGAGGCUUUGAAGUGUGGACGCCAGUCUGCAUGGAGCCGACCUUGAAAUACCACCCUUUAAUGUUUGAUGUUCUAACGUUGACCCGUAAUCCGGGUUGCGGACAGUGUCUGGUGGGUAGUUUGACUGGGGCGGUCUCCUCCUAAAGAGUAACGGAGGAGCACGAAGGUUGGCUAAUCCUGGUCGGACAUCAGGAGGUUAGUGCAAUGGCAUAAGCCAGCUUGACUGCGAGCGUGACGGCGCGAGCAGGUGCGAAAGCAGGUCAUAGUGAUCCGGUGGUUCUGAAUGGAAGGGCCAUCGCUCAACGGAUAAAAGGUACUCCGGGGAUAACAGGCUGAUACCGCCCAAGAGUUCAUAUCGACGGCGGUGUUUGGCACCUCGAUGUCGGCUCAUCACAUCCUGGGGCUGAAGUAGGUCCCAAGGGUAUGGCUGUUCGCCAUUUAAAGUGGUACGCGAGCUGGGUUUAGAACGUCGUGAGACAGUUCGGUCCCUAUCUGCCGUGGGCGCUGGAGAAUUGAGGGGGGCUGCUCCUAGUACGAGAGGACCGGAGUGGACGCAUCACUGGUGUUCGGGUUGUCAUGCCAAUGGCACUGCCCGGUAGCUAAAUGCGGAAGAGAUAAGUGCUGAAAGCAUCUAAGCACGAAACUUGCCCCGAGAUGAGUUCUCCCUGACUCCUUGAGAGUCCUGAAGGAACGUUGAAGACGACGACGUUGAUAGGCCGGGUGUGUAAGCGCAGCGAUGCGUUGAGCUAACCGGUACUAAUGAACCGUGAGGCUUAACCUUACAACGCCGAAGGUGUUU
This 2930-nucleotide ribosomal RNA is filed under the name Escherichia coli. Its description in RNAcentral is "23S ribosomal RNA". It matches the Rfam family "Bacterial large subunit ribosomal RNA". The record is from RNAcentral. Lineage: Bacteria; Pseudomonadati; Pseudomonadota; Gammaproteobacteria; Enterobacterales; Enterobacteriaceae.